Molecule: ribosomal RNA, 117 nt
Filed under: Periophthalmus magnuspinnatus
Lineage: Eukaryota; Metazoa; Chordata; Actinopteri; Gobiiformes; Gobiidae
Source: RNAcentral
UUAAUUAGCUACACCACCUUGUCAGCGCUCGAUGUAGUUUAAUCUCAGAAGCUAAGCAGGGAUGGGCUUGGUUAGAACUUGGGAACAUGGGAGAACCUUGGGAAUACCCGGUGCCAC